This 253-nucleotide ribosomal RNA is filed under the name uncultured bacterium. RNAcentral describes it as "partial 16S ribosomal RNA". It matches the Rfam family "Bacterial small subunit ribosomal RNA", at positions 524 to 776 of the family's 1533-position model. The record is from RNAcentral.
UACGUAGGGAGCAAGCGUUGUCCGGAAUCAUUGGGCGUAAAGCGCGCGUAGGCGGCCCGGUAAGUCCGCUGUGAAAGUCAAAGGCUCAACCUUUGAAUGUCAGCGGAUACUGCCGGGCUAGAGUCCGGAAGAGGCGAGUGGAACUCCUGGUGUAGCGGUGGAAUGCGCAGAUAUCAGGAAGAACACCAACGGCGAAGGCAGCUCGCUGGGACGGAACUGACGCUAAGGCGCGAAAGCGUGGGGAGCGAACAGG